Molecule: ribosomal RNA, 312 nt
Filed under: uncultured bacterium
Lineage: Bacteria
Description: bacterial SSU rRNA
Rfam family: Bacterial small subunit ribosomal RNA
Source: RNAcentral
GAUGAACGCUAGCGACAGGCUUAACACAUGCAAGUCGAACGGCAGCAUAAGAGAGCUUGCUCUCUUGAUGGCGAGUGGCGAACGGGUGAGUAAUGUAUCGGAACGUGCCCAGUAGCGGGGGAUAACUACGCGAAAGCGUAGCUAAUACCGCAUACGCCCUACGGGGGAAAGGAGGGGAUCCGCAAGGACCUUUCACUAUUGGAGCGGCCGAUAUCGGAUUAGCUAGUUGGUGAGGUAAGGGCUCACCAAGGCGACGAUCCGUAGCUGGUUUGAGAGGACGACCAGCCACACUGGGACUGAGACACGGCCCAG